Molecule: ribosomal RNA, 492 nt
Filed under: uncultured bacterium
Lineage: Bacteria
Description: partial 16S ribosomal RNA
Rfam family: Bacterial small subunit ribosomal RNA
Source: RNAcentral
AGUGAACGCUGGCGGUAGGCCUAACACAUGCAAGUCGAACGGCAGCACAGUAAGAGCUUGCUCUUACGGGUGGCGAGUGGCGGACGGGUGAGGAAUACAUCGGAAUCUACUUUCUCGUGGGGGAUAACGUAGGGAAACUUACGCUAAUACCGCAUACGACCUACGGGUGAAAGCAGGGGAUCUUCGGACCUUGCGCGAUUGAAUGAGCCGAUGUCGGAUUAGCUAGUUGGCGGGGUAAAGGCCCACCAAGGCGACGAUCCGUAGCUGGUCUGAGAGGAUGAUCAGCCACACUGGAACUGAGACACGGUCUAGACUCCUACGGGAGGCAGCAGUGGGGAAUAUUGGACAAUGGGCGCAAGCCUGAUCCAGCCAUACCGCGUGGGUGAAGAAGGCCUUCGGGUUGUAAAGCCCUUUUGUUGGGAAAGAAAAGCAGCAGGUUAAUACCCCGCUGUUCUGACGGUACCCAAAGAAUAAGCACCGGCUAACUUCGUG